ACCCGGGACCUUAGGAUGACGAACCUUGUACUCUACCUGCUACGCCAAUUUGACUCAUCGAUAUGGCAGACAGAAAAUGUGCUACCCACAUUGGCAUUUGCGAGAAUAGGUUUGGGAGUACCAAUGGAAUGUUUGUCCAAAAAUCAAGGAUUAUUUUUUACAAUGCAAGCGGAGAAGAACGAUACUGCUAAAAAUGAGACUCCUAAUGACGAGACGACUUCGAUUGCGAACGAGAUAACAAAUGUGAAGCUGGAAGAUAGUUCAACAAGUUCAACUCCAAGUAGUCCUGGCACUGAAUCAAAUAGCAUUUUAACAAACUUUAAAUCGUUUUCCAAAUUCGGCGAUCCAAAGAGCGAUGGCAAACUGAUUACGUUAAGUCAAAGUGACAAAUGGAUGAAGCAAGCAAAGGUAAUCGAUGGAAAGAAAAUUACCACCACGGACACUGGAAUUCACUUCAAAAAGCACAAAUCCAUGAAACUUAGCCUUGAACAGUAUAAAAUGUUUCUUGAAGACUUGGCCAAAAGUAAAAAAACUGAAUUAGCGGAAAUAAAAAAGAAGAUGGCUAAUUGUGGACCACCUGGGGUUACCGGAGGCGUUGGCGGCAAGUUCUAUGAGAUUCUUUAUUUAAAAGAAAAAUAUUCAAGUAUCAUUUUUGGGCUCUGAAUGAAAUCCGAAGACAUUAAAAAAUCCUCAUUUGUCCGAGAAAUAACGGGAGCAUUGCUAUAAUAAGUAGCUAGGAAACAAUUCGACGUUCCAAGAUAUCCAGAGCUGGGAAAGCAGCAUCAACCGUUGACAGACUCACCGAUGUUAGCAAAUAUACUGGCUCUCACAAGCAACGUUUUGACGAGACAG
RNAcentral lists this unclassified non-coding RNA (852 nucleotides) under Monomorium pharaonis (pharaoh ant). RNAcentral describes it as "tubulin polymerization-promoting protein homolog, transcript variant X1". The record is from RNAcentral. Lineage: Eukaryota; Metazoa; Arthropoda; Insecta; Hymenoptera; Formicidae.